UCGCGAAUCAUCUAGAUAGAGUUGAUCAUGGCUCAGCCGACUGAACGCUGGCUGGCGAUGCCUAAUACAUGCAAGUCGAGCGAACAGAGAAGGAGCUUGCUCCUUUGACGUUAGCGGCGGACGGGUGAGUAACACGUGGGCAACCUACCUUAUAGUUUGGGAUAACUCCGGGAAACCGGGGCUAAUACCGAAUAAUCUAUUUUACUUCAUGGUGAAAUACUGAAAGACGGUUUCGGCUGUCACUAUAAGAUGGGCCCGCGGCGCAUUAGCUAGUUGGUGAGGUAACGGCUCACCAAGGCGACGAUGCGUA
Molecule: ribosomal RNA, 310 nt
Filed under: uncultured bacterium
Lineage: Bacteria
Description: partial 16S ribosomal RNA
Rfam family: Bacterial small subunit ribosomal RNA
Source: RNAcentral